Molecule: ribosomal RNA, 779 nt
Filed under: uncultured bacterium
Lineage: Bacteria
Description: bacterial SSU rRNA
Rfam family: Bacterial small subunit ribosomal RNA
Source: RNAcentral
GAGUUUGAUGCUGGCUCAUAACGAACGCUGGCGGCAGGCCUAACACAUGCAAGUCGAACGCUUCAGCAAUGAAGAGUGGCAGACGGGUGAGUAACGCGUGGGAACCUUCCCAGUGGUACGGAGUAGCCCAGGGAAACUUGGGGUAAUACCGUAUAAGCCCUUAGGGGGAAAGAUUUAUCGCCAUUGGAUGGGCCCGCGUCGGAUUAGCUUGUUGGUGAGGUAAAAGCUCACCAAGGCGACGAUCCGUAGCUGGUCUGAGAGGAUGAUCAGCCACACUGGGACUGAGACACGGCCCAGACUCCUACGGGAGGCAGCAGUGGGGAAUAUUGGACAAUGGGCGCAAGCCUGAUCCAGCCAUGCCGCGUGAGUGACGAAGGCCUUAGGGUUGUAAAGCUCUUUUGGCGGGGACGAUAAUGACGGUACCCGCAUAAUAAGCUCCGGCUAACUUCUGGCCAACAGCCGCGGUGAUACGAAGGGAGCUAGCGUUGUUCAGAAUUACUGGGCGUAAAGCGCACGUACGCGGACUUGUUAGUCAUGGGUGAAAUCCCGGGGCCCAACCUCGGAACUGCCUUUGAUACUGCAAGUCUGGAGUCCGGAAGAGGUGGGUGGAAUUCCUAGUGUAUACGUGAAAUUCGUAGAUAUUANGAAGAACACCGGUGGCGAACGCGGACAACUGGUCGCGUACUGACACUGACGUGGUAACGCGUGCGGAGCAAACGGAAUAGAUACCCUGUAGUCACGUCGUAAACGAUGGAGCUACCUGUCGUAAGCUUGCUGUC